AGGGCAGGAUGCCGGAUAACGUCCGGUGGAGGCGACUCCAAGGAUAGUGCAACAGAAAUAUACCGCCGGCUUUUGCCGGUAAGGGUGGAAGGGCAGUGUAAGAGACUACCGCCUUUCUGGUAACAGAAAGGGCAUAUGUAAACCCCAUCCGAAGCAAGACCGAAUAAAAAGCAAUGUGGCUGCCCGUCACGCUUUUAGGUGGGUCGCUGAAGUCUGUUGGCAACAGCAGAAUUAGAUAGAUGAUUAUUCUCGACAUAACCCGGCUUACAGUUUUGCUGG
RNAcentral lists this RNase P RNA (279 nucleotides) under uncultured Blautia sp. RNAcentral describes it as "Bacterial RNase P class A". It matches the Rfam family "Bacterial RNase P class A", at positions 63 to 361 of the family's 367-position model. Rfam says of the family: Ribonuclease P (RNase P) is a ubiquitous endoribonuclease, found in archaea, bacteria and eukarya as well as chloroplasts and mitochondria. Its best characterised activity is the generation of mature 5'-ends of tRNAs by cleaving the 5'-leader elements of precursor-tRNAs. Cellular RNase Ps are ribonucleoproteins. The record is from RNAcentral. Lineage: Bacteria; Bacillati; Bacillota; Clostridia; Lachnospirales; Lachnospiraceae.